AAGAGGAAAGUGGAAUUCCAAGUGUAGCGGUGAAAUGCGUAGAGAUUUGGAGGAACACCAGUGGGGAAGGCGACUUUCUGGUCUGUAACUGACGCUGAAGCGCGAAAGCGUGGGGACAAAACAGGAUUAGAUACCCUGGUAGUCCACGCCGUAAACGAUGAGUGCUAAGUGUUAGAGGGUUUCCGCCCUUUAGUGCUGCAGCAAACGCAUUAAGCACUCCGCCAGGGGAGUACGACCGCAAGGUUGAAACUCAAAGGCAUUCGGGGGCCCGCACAAGCGGUGGAGCAUGUGGUUUAAUUCGAAGCAACGCGAAGAACCUUACCAGGUCUUGACAUCCUCUGACAAUCCUAGAGAUAGGACUUUCCCCUUCGGGGGACAGAGUGACAGGUGGUGCAUGGUUGUCGUCAGCUCGUGUCGUGAGAUGUUGGGUUAAGUCCCGCAACGAGCGCAACCCUUGAUCUUAGUUGCCAGCAUYAGUUGGGCACUCUAAGGUGACUGCGGUGACAAACCGGAGGAAGGUGGGGAUGACGUCAAAUCAUCAUGCCCCUUAUGAAUGGGCUACACACGUGCUACAAUGGAUGUACAAAGGGCUGCAAGACCGCGAGGUUUAGCCAAUCCCAUAAAACCAUUCUCAGUUCGGAUUGUAGGCUGCAAACUCGCCUACAUAAGCCGGAAUCUUAGUAAUCGCGGACAGCAUGCCGCGGUGAAUACGUUCCCGGGCCUUGUACACACCGCCCGUCACAAACGAGUUUUGUUCARKUUGAAGUCGGUGGUGUAAGCUGUGGAAACAAGCCACCGUAGAGUMCCCCC
RNAcentral lists this ribosomal RNA (810 nucleotides) under Bacillus sp. (in: firmicutes). RNAcentral describes it as "bacterial SSU rRNA". It matches the Rfam family "Bacterial small subunit ribosomal RNA", at positions 652 to 1533 of the family's 1533-position model. The record is from RNAcentral. Lineage: Bacteria; Bacillati; Bacillota; Bacilli; Caryophanales; Bacillaceae.